CAGAUUAGUCCAAUGGAUAACUUCAUGAGUUUAUAGAAGGUUGAUAUAGCCAUUUGCUGUGGUGUGAGGACUGCAUUUUUUUACCAAAUAAGUGAAUUAAAAACUUAUUAUUAAAUUAUUGAAAUGAAAGGAUUAAUCUAUAGAAUUCAAUAAAACCUCUAUUUUUAUGCCCCUACCAUAGCAGAGGAGGCAUUAAGGGCAUACAAUACAGUUACAGGGGAGAUAAUGACGUUGCUAAGUAAAUUCUUAUUUUCGCAACGUCAAACUAUGACUUAUCGGAAAAAGACUCAGUUUUCGGCUGACUUUUAUCAUUCAAACUUAUUUAACUUGAAAACAAGUUCAUGGACCCCCUUUUUUAAAAUGCCAUUCGGUUUGUUUAAGUGAGAAGAUUAUGUGUGCC
RNAcentral lists this long non-coding RNA (400 nucleotides) under Mytilus galloprovincialis (Mediterranean mussel). Lineage: Eukaryota; Metazoa; Mollusca; Bivalvia; Mytilida; Mytilidae. The record is from RNAcentral.